Molecule: long non-coding RNA, 1734 nt
Filed under: Androctonus crassicauda
Lineage: Eukaryota; Metazoa; Arthropoda; Arachnida; Scorpiones; Buthidae
Source: RNAcentral
CCAGACACCACUAAUGGUACGUAUAUAAUCUGGACUUCUUAUUUGUAUACGAGGCACAUUUUUAUCGGAGGUACCGAAAUUUUUGAAUUUUGAGUUUGGUGUUACGCAUUCAUCGAAAGGUCGCUGUACACAACAGAAUUGUCGAUUGGUGUUGUAAUCAUCAGCGGUGAGGGCGAAUCUUUAAUUUUAUGAUGUAUUUAGUUGUUCCAAAAGGCGAAAUAAAAGUAUCGAAAUUGAAGGUUCGCCUUCCCGUGGAGUGAUGAUUAAAAUGCCAAUCGACAAUUUCGUUGUAUUAUUUAUUAUUAAAGAUUCAUUCCAAAAUUGCGCUUUCAACUCAACACCGCCUUCGAGACAGAUCUCUAAAAUGGCGGCGCGCACCGAUUUAGAUACUAGGUGUGAAGAAAUCACUAUAAUUUCGUUAUUCAUUUUCUCGAGGCCUGCCCCGGAUAGAAGCGCAGUCGUUAUGGAAAGUUAUCUCUAUCGGUGGUCAUCUUUCCAUCGGGAUUAUUUUUGUUCAUAUAGGGCUUAGUAAGAAUAUGUGAAUAUUUUUUCAUUCUCUAAUACAUCUGGAAAACUUUAGAGGUGCGGUUUACUACCGAGUGUUCCGGAUAUACGUUAGACAAUUAAAGAUUGGUUGCCACCGACUGACAAUAAAAAAUACGAAUCGACAGUCGUGUUGUUUUAAAGAUUCAUUCGAAGUUAACUUUUCAAUGCUAGUUUUAUACGCGGGCGAGUCUCUUAAUUUCACGGUGCAUCUGGUGGUGGCCAGCCAGACGUACGCUUCUUUUAGAAAGUUUAUUCGGUUUACGGCCAUCUUUCCAUCGGCGCUACUUUUGUCGUCCCGGGUAUUCUGGUCUUAGCCGCAUCCACAGCCACUAAAUGGUGGUAGUGGUGUAAGGGAAGAACGGUAUUUCCCGCACCCCAGACGUCCAGCAUGGCACGGACUUAGUAAAAUGGGAAGAAAUUGCUUUCUGGGUGCCGGCUGAAAAUUCGAGUGUGCAUCACCAGAUAUUCGAGAAUUUCAAAUAGUACUCUGGUUUACGAGAAUUUUUACUCGCCGCAUAAUUGUCAUCAAAGAUAUAUUUUAAUGGCCAGUAAGAUAAGAUUAAUUUUAAUGCCGCCUUAAUUAAUUACUGUUAGUUGGUCUGGAAGUGAAACGAUGUUCUUUUCAUUCGAAUUCAAAUAUUCUCCGAUUUCCAUCACCGUUCUUUUCUUCUACCACCAGGCAAUCUAUAAUCGCCUUUUAAUAAAUCUGUUUAAUUGAAAAUAUUUCGUUCCAUUUAUAUACGAUAUUUUAUAUCGAGUAAAGGCAGCUAAAAUGCGCCAUAAAUAUAUGUCAUAUACGCUCUCCAAUCGAUAAAAGCGCCUGACGAUUUAAAAUAAAGUUUAUAGCGGGUGUCCGAGCCGACUGGGAAAGUCUAUAGCAAAAUGGGAUACGUAUCGGGUUUGUUACUGGUGCUGCUAAACAAAACGACUAUUUGGGAGCCCUGGCCAAUCGGAUUAGUCGAACUGAAGAUUGUAGAUUUCCUCUCGGCUGACCCUUCUCGCUAAGUUUAUAAUGGUUGAAACGGAUCCGUCCGAUACAUAUAAAUAGAUUUUAAUAGUUAUUCGACGUAACUCUCGCAUUGGUUGGCUUACACGCCGCGGAGUAAAGAAGCGAAGCCGAGAUAUUACUUACAAGGAGAGGUCCUCAAGUGGAAUCCACCGAUUUUGAUGGGGCUUAAUAGGAUUGUA